RNAcentral lists this ribosomal RNA (428 nucleotides) under uncultured prokaryote. RNAcentral describes it as "bacterial SSU rRNA". It matches the Rfam family "Bacterial small subunit ribosomal RNA", at positions 355 to 774 of the family's 1533-position model. The record is from RNAcentral.
UGAGGAAUAUUGCGCAAUGGGGGCAACCCUGACGCAGCAACGCCGCGUGAGUGAGGAAGGUUUUCGGAUUGUAAAGCUCUGUCGAGCGGAAAGAAAUGCAUUAUGGCUAAUAUCCAUAAUGCUUGACGGUACCGCUAAAGGCAGCACCGGCUAACUCCGUGCCAGCAGCCGCGGUAAUACGGGGGGUGCAAGCGUUGUUCGGAAUCAUUGGGCGUAAAGCGCGUGUAGGCGGCUUGACAAGUCAGAUGUGAAAGCGCGGGGCUUAACCCAGGAAGUGCAUUUGAAACUGCCUCGCUAGAGUAAGGGAGAGGAAAGUGGAAUUCCUGGUGUAGAGGUGAAAUUCGUAGAUAUCAGGAGGAACACCGGUGGCGAAGGCGACCUUCUGGCCCUAUACUGACGCUGAGACGCGAAAGCGUGGGUAGCAAACA